This 482-nucleotide ribosomal RNA is filed under the name uncultured bacterium. Its description in RNAcentral is "partial 16S ribosomal RNA". It matches the Rfam family "Bacterial small subunit ribosomal RNA", at positions 30 to 507 of the family's 1533-position model. The record is from RNAcentral.
AUUGAACGCUGGCGGCAUGCCUUACACAUGCAAGUCGAACGGUAACGGGCCUUCGGGUGCCGACGAGUGGCGAACGGGUGCGUAAUACAUCGGAACGUGCCCGAUCGUGGGGGAUAACGAGGCGAAAGCUUUGCUAAUACCGCAUACGAUCUACGGAUGAAAGCAGGGGACCGCAAGGCCUUGCGCGGACGGAGCGGCCGAUGGCAGAUUAGGUAGUUGGUGGGAUAAAAGCUUACCAAGCCGACGAUCUGUAGCUGGUCUGAGAGGAUGAUCAGCCACACUGGGACUGAGACACGGCCCAGACUCCUACGGGAGGCAGCAGUGGGGAAUUUUAGACAAUGGGCGCAAGCCUGAUCCAGCCAUGCCGCGUGUAGGAUGAAGGCCUUCGGGUUGUAAACUGCUUUUGUACGGAACGAAAAGCCUUCUUUUAAUACAGGAGGGUCAUGACGGUACCGUAAGAAUAAGCACCGGCUAACUACGUG